UUCUCGUCUGUAGCCAGAGAGCCCCGCGCGGCCACGGCGACCUCACGCCGCCUCGCGCCCCGCCACUAGCUUCGAGCACUCGUAAACGAUAACCGGUUUGCCCCGUCGCGUCGUUAUGCGACCAAUAACAAACUUGUGUUAAACUAAGACUUGUAAGAGCUUUUUCAGCCUGCCCGACUAAGUUUCGUUAAGUGCGCCAAUUGACACUUUUGUGAUGUGUUUUAAGUUUGUAACUCGGUUACAGUGAAGUUAUGAAGUGACAUAAAGUAUCGUGAUUACGUGCCGCGAUCCCGUAAUUUUGGUUUGUUGACAAGUUAAUUGCGUUCACGGUUCAACCCACAAAUUGAUGUGCCAAGUCAGAAAGUUCAAACUUUGGGUCUCUGUGGAAGGAACAGCUAAUUAGACUGUUUAUGACAACAUUUUCAAAAGGAUCGUGAGCGGCCCAGCUUAAACAUGUCAUAAGUUACCGAUUGGAUAUGAGACGAUGAGCCAUGGAAUCACAAAGCGCGCCGCCAAGCCCCGAGGAGUCGGGGGAGGCGGUGUACGACCCCAGGUGCGGCCGCUACCAGCUGCAGCACACGCCCGCGCUCCAGCGGACCUUCGCCAGCUGUCGCGAAACCACGCGACCCAGGCCUCACCACCGCCACGCCGUCUCAGAGCCUGCACGCCCCGACGACCGGGUGCUCACCACCGCAGAAGUACACGACUAUCCUUCCUCCGAAUCAGGCAUCGCCGCCGAUUGUCCACACCCCCACACGAGCAACGACGAGAGUCCCUCUUACGAUCGAUCUGACUAUGAAGGAAAUUCAAGCUACAGUCUCAGGCACACACCUGAUUACCAUCAUACCUUAGAUUGUAAACACAGGCCGGUCGAUUAUAAUCGUAGUCAUACACCUGAUUAUAAUCACGGUCAUGGGUCGGACUGUGAGCGUGGCCACACGCGCACCCAGGGUCGCCGAGCUCACAGAAAGCACAGGCGGGAAGAGGACGAUGGAGCGCAAUCACUUGACGAGCGUUGUGCUAGGGACUUGGAUGAAAUUCUACCAGCUCGGCUAGCCGCUGUUAACUUGUCAAGAGAACCGCCUCCUCAAACGUGGAACAGAAGCAAUAUUGCUGCUACAAUGGAAAGGUUCGAGCCCGUUGACUAUUCAUAUGCCUACUAUGAUCACCAUUUAUCAAUGCCGUCGUCGUCAAGAAAGGCUAACAGACAUCGAGGACGCGGUGGGAUACCACGAGAUCGUACAGCACGUCACAAUUAUGUCACUCGAUACGGAACCGAGGAAAAUAUCUAUGAAGAAAUAACAGACGGAACAAGAACUUGUCCUAAACAUAGAUACGCACCACGACAAUCGCUCGUCUCUCUAGACAGGAGCGUCGUAGAAGAGGAAGUUCGCCGGGUAGAGUCGAGGCACAAAAGAAUUUUAGGAGAGCUAAAUCUAAGUGUCGAAGCGAUGUUAAUGCCAGAAUGCGAAUCACCAGAUUCGGAGCGAGCUGAAGAUAGGGAUAAUAUAGAAGAAUUGCUAAGAGUCGGGCCAACAGAUGAAUUACUUUCACCUGCGAGCUGUAAUCCCCCGGAUUUGGAUAGCGGGUUUAGUGGGAGCAGCAGUGGAGCGAGUUACGUUGGCAGUUUGCGACGAAAGCCGACUGGGUCGGUGCCUCACUUACCGGCGGUGGCGUACGGCACGCGCGGAGCCGGAGUCCGCAUACUGGGCGCUGAUGAAUGCAGCGUGCGUUGCCCUAGGGACACCACCUCGCCCCGCAGUUCUAGCUGCGGUGACGCCAAAACGACGGGGUUUUGGAAUAAGAAGUCCUGGAAGAAAAUAUCAGGUUUCUCUAGCUCAAACAGCAUCAACAAAGCCGGUCUCACUGGUCUGCUCGUUAGGUACACUUUCCGGCGUAAGUCCGGGUCGCAGGGCUCUCAGAGCAAGCGGCGUGCCGAGCCGGUCACAUGCGAUGCGUGCCUCUCACAACGAUGUUAGCCGCACCAUGAUGACGCCUGUAGGCCAAGCCGAGCUAAGUCCAGAACAGCCACUAUACCAUACAGCUACUCCAACGGAAAACUGGUGGUGCCGCUGGAUUCCCUAGCGCAGAGCUGAGGGGCCGAGGCCCCUCGCACUCCCGGCCUCCAACUCAUCUGAAGGGCUCCUCACGAUCGGGCCGCGAUAAGCGCACCUCCUCUGCCCUCCAAGUAGAUACAUCAGAAACCUCACAACAAAAACAUUCCAUUACGAAAACCUUGCAGUAUGUCUCAAAGACAGACUGCAGUGCGAUCGUGUAAGAAAAUGUAAAAUAGCAUGUGUAAAUAAAUCAAGAGACUUCGGGAAAGUACGCGGCGAGUAUACGUUGAAGUGAUAGAAAAGCCUAAAUAAAUAUUGUGUUGUUUUGACAACCGUUUCAUAGAAACGUAAGGACUACGUUGUUACUACUUAUCAAUUUUUAGUAGUUACUAGGUACCUACAUGAAAAGGCUGACACAGUUAAAUCGCAUUUUGUAAAUGGUAAUUGGAAAUCGUUGGCAUUAGCUGGUACAUAUUAAUUAAAUAACUAUUUGAUGUUUGUCUGUAACUUUUCUAUACAUACCUAUACUAUCACACGUAGAUAUGUGUAAAAAGUAUUGUUGUCUGCUGUUUUAGUAAAUUUUAAUGGUGCCUAAUAAAGCCUGAUAAUGUUCGCAUACGUUGCUGUCAAGAUAAAAACACCAUUUCGUACAAUAUUAAGCACUAGUUUUUAUUAAAAAAUCGUAUAACUAUUUAUUAGAUCAUUAUUACAGAGUGCUAGACUCCAUCUAUUCAAUGAAACAUGCUCCAGGCCUAAUUUUGCACCAAUUACAUUAUUAUAAAAACAUUUUAACGUUUGAACAAAACUUUCAAAAGUAAGGAACCAUUACGAGUAGCAUGUCAAGAAACCUUUGGUCCAACAUAUUUAUUUAAAACUAAGAAUCUGUGUAAAAAUAUCGUUUUUUAAAGAAAAUGUUGUUCUCGAGUCCAUUGUUAAUAGUUGUUAGUGUGUAAUUGUAUAUUUUGUAAAUACGUAAGCAUACAGUGCACUGUUUUUUUGUUACGGAAACUUUUUUGCAUCGUUAUUUGAAAGGCUUUUAUAAAAAAAAUAUCACAGAUAUUAUAGUGGUAAAAAACCUAAAAUACAUCUCAAUUUUGCAGCAAUCGAAAAGAAUGUUUUAUAUUUGAGUGAUUGAGAUAAAAAAUAUUUACGAUUUGACAAUAUUUAUAUAAAUCUGCACUCAAAUAUAAACAAAGGAGCACAAUUUAUACUCUCUUUGUAUUUAUUCUGAAAUCACAAUUACUAGAAUGUUGUAAUUUACCAUUUACCUAAAAAGUAAGGAUGUGAACAAUAUAAUUGCUGGUAAAAAAAUAAAUUAGACACUUGUCACUUAGGUACCUAAAUAUGUACGCUAUUUCUAAAUUUUCUUAAACCUUCACGUAAGUUUUAUUCUUUCUACUUAUUUAUAGCUCAUCGUUAUUUAAUUUAUUACCAUGUCACAUGAACUUUCAUCUACCUACAUAAUUACAUAGGGUGCAUUUGAAGUCGAUUCGAAGUUGCCGGAUUCGAACUUUAAGAUACGUCAAUUAAUAGAUCUGGAAACGAUAUGGAUUAGAAGUGACGUUUUUGUUUGAAGAAACGUCACAUUUGACACUGACAUAUCUAAUUCAUAUCGUUUCUAGAUCUAUUAGUUGAUGUAUCUUAAAGUUAGAAUAGGGCCAUUAGUUAUACCUAUAUAAUAUUUAUUCUAGCCAACAUUAAAAAGGGAAUAUUAUUUACAGAGCAAUAUAAAUAGAACACUGAAUGGACAUUGUAUGAAAAAUGUUGUAUAUAAUCAAUUGCUCUACCCAUUGUUUAUAUCCUAUUUAUUUUAAACACCCCGGAACUAUAUACUGCCUGCACAUUAACACUGCCAGUCUACCUAGUUGUGACAAGUGUCUAAUAUUACCUUUUAUUGAUACAUAUUUAUAAUGAUUGUAAAUAAUUAUUAAUUUAAAUUCAUAUUUGAAUCAGUCAGUGAGACUUAAGUAAAUAGGUAUGUAACUAUUGUGCUAAGCUGGACUGAUAAGAGGUAAACACUCUCAAUGUUAUAUUUCUUUUACUGUCUGUAAGAAUUUAGCGACCGUGUUCAAGUCAAAAGAGAUUUUUAUUAAAUAAAUCAUAAAAGUCA
Cydia fagiglandana is the source of this 4167-nucleotide RNA transcript. RefSeq lists it as uncharacterized. NCBI's taxonomy places the organism in Eukaryota, Metazoa, Arthropoda, Insecta, Lepidoptera, Tortricidae. The record is from RefSeq and is a predicted model, not a curated record. The transcript is spliced from 6 exons.